GCCUGGUUCUUUCGCUUGAUGGUUGGUAAAGCGUGAGACUCUUAAUCUCAGGGUUGUGGGUCCAAGGCCCACGUUGGGCA
Molecule: non-coding RNA, 80 nt
Organism: Podarcis lilfordi (Lilford's wall lizard)
Lineage: Eukaryota; Metazoa; Chordata; Lepidosauria; Squamata; Lacertidae
Source: the annotation of a GenBank genome assembly